AUCAUUACCGAGUGAGGGCCCUCUGGGUCCAACCUCCCACCCGUGUUUAUUUUACCUUGUUGCUUCGGCGGGCCCGCCUUAACUGGCCGCCGGGGGGCUUACGCCCCCGGGCCCGCGCCCGCCGAAGACACCCUCGAACUCUGUCUGAAGAUUGUAGUCUGAGUGAAAAUAUAAAUUAUUUAAAACUUUCAACAACGGAUCUCUUGGUUCCGGCAUCGAUGAAGAACGCAGCGAAAUGCGAUACGUAAUGUGAAUUGCAAAUUCAGUGAAUCAUCGAGUCUUUGAACGCACAUUGCGCCCCCUGGUAUUCCGGGGGGCAUGCCUGUCCGAGCGUCAUUGCUGCCCUCAAGCACGGCUUGUGUGUUGGGCCCCGUCCUCCGAUCCCGGGGGACGGGCCCGAAAGGCAGCGGCGGCACCGCGUCCGGUCCUCGAGCGUAUGGGGCUUUGUCACCCGCUCUGUAGGCCCGGCCGGCGCUUGCCGAUCAACCCAAAUUUUUAUCCAGGUUGACCUCGGAUCAGGUAGGGAUACCCGCUGAACUUAAGCAUAUCAAUAAGCGGAGGA
Molecule: ribosomal RNA, 562 nt
Filed under: uncultured Penicillium
Lineage: Eukaryota; Fungi; Ascomycota; Eurotiomycetes; Eurotiales; Aspergillaceae
Description: eukaryotic LSU rRNA
Rfam family: 5.8S ribosomal RNA (bases 184-336)
Source: RNAcentral